This 410-nucleotide ribosomal RNA is filed under the name Nocardioides sp. 1169. RNAcentral describes it as "bacterial SSU rRNA". It matches the Rfam family "Bacterial small subunit ribosomal RNA", at positions 1103 to 1510 of the family's 1533-position model. Lineage: Bacteria; Bacillati; Actinomycetota; Actinomycetes; Propionibacteriales; Nocardioidaceae. The record is from RNAcentral.
CCUCGUCUUAUGUUGCCAGCACGUAAUGGUGGGGACUCAUAAGAGACUGCCGGGGUCAACUCGGAGGAAGGUGGGGAUGACGUCAAUUCAUCAUGCCCCUUAUGCCUAGGGCUUCACGCAUGCUACAAUGGCCGGUACAAAGGGCUGCGAAAUCGCAAGAUGGAGCGAAUCCCAAAAAGCCGGUCUCAGUUCGGAUUGGGGUCUGCAACUCGACCCCAUGAAGUCGGAGUCGCUAGUAAUCGCAGAUCAGCAACGCUGCGGUGAAUACGUUCCCGGGCCUUGUACACACCGCCCGUCACGUCACGAAAGUUGGCAACACCCGAAGCCGGUGGCCCAACCCUUGUGGAGGGAGCCGUCGAAGGUGGGGCGAGCGAUUGGGACGAAGUCGUAACAAGGUAGCCGUACCGGAA